Molecule: long non-coding RNA, 1119 nt
Organism: Hevea brasiliensis (rubber tree)
Lineage: Eukaryota; Viridiplantae; Streptophyta; Magnoliopsida; Malpighiales; Euphorbiaceae
Exons: 2
Source: RefSeq, a predicted model, not a curated record
GGUAGCAGUUCCUUUUGCGGAUGAAUCUACUAGUCCGAGCAAAAUGAAAGUCUCGAAACCUAAGAAAAAGGCUCUACUAGUGGAUGAAGUAUCGUCCGUUCUGAACCAAUCUGACUUGCGCCGUAUAAGCAACGACUUUCACCUCCCGAACGAUAAGUUCGAGCUGAUCUGACGUCAUGGUGACUUCCGAGCUAAUCAUGAUUUUGAUGAAAGAGAUCAGAUCAUGGUGUAUGGAAAACAACUAAAUGCUAGAGUUCAGUUUCCUUUGGGAUAAUUUUAUGUAGAUGCACUAAGCUACCAUCAUAUAGUAGUGGCGCAGCUCCAUUCGAACUCAUGGCGGAUACUAGAGGCUUUUCGAGGUCUUUACCAAGGUGCAAUGGUGGCUCACCAACGUGAUUGCUAGAGAGAAUACUUCUCUUCAAUUGGCUGAUCUUGGACCCAGAAAGGGUAAUACUUUUUAUCUCUCCCUCUGGUCUUAUGUUGCUCACUAACAUUGUAUUUCUUUCAGAUAUGGUUAGAAUUGGUUCUGAUUAGCCUAAGAGGAAAAGGAAGAGGGAGCUUGCCAAGCGAGUACUACAAAGGAAGGAAGCAGCGCCAUAGGUUACUGCUGCUACUAUGGCCCGAGGAACCUCAAGCUAAAAGGCCUCGUCCUGAGGAGCCUACUUCCCCGAUUAUUAAUUAGGCUAACCCCAUCGAUGUUGGUCUCCUCCUCUGGCUGUCAGGCCUUCAACUCAACCACUUACAUCGACUACCUCUGGCUGGGUGGCUCUUCUGGCCAGUAAAUGUCGAGAGGUGCCAAAGAGCUAACUCAAUCCCUCAAAAGAAUCUGAUCUAUAAAAGGUAACAUAGAUUUGGUGAAGGUUACUACAGCUUCACUUUGUCUCCUUGAAGACCUUCUCUCCGAAAUGCUAAAGCGAUAUCCUAGCGUGGACUUUACCUGGCUCAAAAAGCUCACCCCAAAUGCUAGUGCUGAGAGUGAUGGAUAGGAUGGUUAGGUUAGGGGAACUCAAAAUGUAAGUGUUGUUGAUGCAGCUAUUGGAGAUCUCCCUCCUACGUCUUGAAUUGUAAAAUGUAAUCUUUCAUUAAUUUAAAUGAAGUGUUUGUCUCUUCUCCAAUCUA